This is a long non-coding RNA of Panicum virgatum (switchgrass), 840 nucleotides long. RefSeq lists it as uncharacterized. The record is from RefSeq and is a predicted model, not a curated record. NCBI's taxonomy places the organism in Eukaryota, Viridiplantae, Streptophyta, Magnoliopsida, Poales, Poaceae. The transcript is spliced from 3 exons.
CCUCAGCGUAACGCACAGGAUGAGGGGUCCUCCAAGUUCCUGUCACUUGUUCAGUUGUUCCUUCAACUUCAGGUUUUUAAGCGCCUGGCAGUUCUUAUCUUCUGACAAGCAAACUACUGUACUACUGAAGCAUGAUCUUCAAUUCAGAUGUGAAAUUGCAGAUCAAGUUUGAGCCGGAGGUCCAGGCACUUUUUAGUGCAUCUGUCACCGUUACGGUGGGAAACGGCGAACGCACCUUGUUCUGGGCCGACAACUGGAUUGGGGGCACUUCCGUGGCUCAGAUUGCUCCCAAUCUGAUUGCGCUGAUCUCCAACCGUAACCGCGCGGCAGAGAACGGUAGCACAGGCCUUGACUAGACGGCGGUGGGUCAGGGACAUCAACGGCGGUCUGUCCAUCCCGGUUCUCAUGGAGUACAUCCGCCUAUGGAACCUGAUGGCAGAUGGUCAUCUUAGCGAGGUUGCGGAUUCCUUUCGGUGGCGGUGGACCACUAACGGCAAGUACACGGCGAUGUCGGCCUACGCGGCGUUGCACCAGGGGAGCGUGCGUUUUCAGGGAGCUGCGCGCAUUUGGAAGAAUUGGGCACCUCCCAAUGUGAAAUUCUUUGUCUGGCUAGCAGCACGACAGAGGAUCUGGACGGCGGAUCGAAGACGCCGGCACGGCCUGGACCCUCAUGACAUGUGCUGGUUCUGCGAUCAAGAGCCAGAGACCUGCGACCACAUUCUGGUUAACAGCACAUUUGCCAAGCAAGUCUGGUGGGAUGUGAUCUCGGCCUUGGGCCGUGUUUGGAUCCCAAAAUCAAAAUUCCAAAUUUUAUUUUCCGGCACCUGCAUGCAGACUUAA